GAUGAAGAACGUAGCGAAAUGCGAUAAGUAAUGUGAAUUGCAGAAUUCCGUGAAUCAUCGAAUCUUUGAACGCACAUUGCGCCCCCUGGUAUUCCGGGGGGCAUGCCUGUCCGAGCGUCAUUACAACCCUCAAGCUCAGCUUGGUGUUGGGCCCCGCCGCCCCGGCGGGCCCUAAAGUCAGUGGCGGUGCCGUCCGGCUCCGAGCGUAGUAAUUCUUCUCGCUCUGGAGGUCCGGUCGUGUGCUUGCCAGCAACCCCCAAUUUUUUUCAGGUUGACCUCGCAUCAGGUAGGGAUACCCGCUGAACUUAAGCAUAUCAAUAAGCGGAGGA
This 329-nucleotide unclassified non-coding RNA is filed under the name soil metagenome. Its description in RNAcentral is "partial contains 5.8S ribosomal RNA, internal transcribed spacer 2, and large subunit ribosomal RNA". The stretch from base 1 to 120 matches the Rfam family "5.8S ribosomal RNA", at positions 35 to 154 of the family's 154-position model. The record is from RNAcentral.